AACGCAAAUUGCACUCUCUUCGGAGAGUAUGCCUGUUUGAGGGUCAGUAUUAAUAAAAAUCGGCGUGUUGCUCUUUUGUGACGUUCCGGAGUUUGAGUUAUCUUAACUCUUCUGGGUUUUAAGAGGCUUAAAAUUGACCUUUUUUUGUGCAUUUUAGACGUACAUAAAAUUUUUUUUUAUUCGUCUAUCUUAAUGCCAAAAUCUAUUAGAUGCGACCAUAUCGUGUGGUUUCGUGUCCAUAAAUUUUUCAUGAUUUGACCUCAAAUCAGGUAGGAACACCCGCUGAACUUAA
This 292-nucleotide unclassified non-coding RNA is filed under the name uncultured Rhizophagus. Its description in RNAcentral is "sequence contains ITS2". Lineage: Eukaryota; Fungi; Glomeromycota; Glomeromycetes; Glomerales; Glomeraceae. The record is from RNAcentral.